Molecule: ribosomal RNA, 301 nt
Filed under: Candidatus Bathyarchaeota archaeon
Lineage: Archaea; Thermoproteati; Candidatus Bathyarchaeota
Description: partial 16S ribosomal RNA
Rfam family: Archaeal small subunit ribosomal RNA
Source: RNAcentral
AAACCGGUUGAUCCUGCCGGACCCCACCGCUAUCGGGGUGGGACUAAGCCAUGCGAGUCGCGCGGCCCGGUCAGCGGGCAGCGGCGUACGGCUCAGUAAUACGUGGUCAACCUACUCGGAGCACCGGGAUAACCGCUGGGAAACUGCGGCUAAUCCCGGAUAGGUGAGGAGGCUUGGAACACCUCCUCGCCCAAAGGCUGGGUUGACGAUGCUCAGCCCAGCGGCUCCGAAUGGGACCACGGCCGAUCAGGUAGUUGGUGAGGUAACGGCUCACCAAGCCUAAGACCGGUACGGGCCCUGA